This is a long non-coding RNA of Myripristis murdjan (pinecone soldierfish), 358 nucleotides long. RefSeq lists it as uncharacterized. The transcript has 3 exons. Lineage: Eukaryota; Metazoa; Chordata; Actinopteri; Holocentriformes; Holocentridae. The record is from RefSeq and is a predicted model, not a curated record.
GAGUGCCCCGGUCACACCUGCGCUCACUACACCUCCAUCACACUGACGCUUCAUCCCUCCUGCCCGGCCUGCGCUGUCGCUCUGCAGGGGAGGAGAGACAGAAAGACCGAGACAGCCUACAUCUCUGUAUUUUACACAAGAGGGUGAUCAUCUUAUCCUGCUGACAACAAAGUGUAAGAGAGCUGUGGUGUCAUUUGGUCAUGGCAGGGAAUGCGUUAAUCUUCAUCCUCUUAUCAGGGCUGGGCAGCCUCCCCUCCUGUUUUCCUCGUCAGUACCACUUGGUUGAAGAACGAAUGACCUGGACUGAAGCGCAGAGCUACUGCAGGCAGCACUACACAGACCUGGCCACCGUAACCAG